RNAcentral lists this ribosomal RNA (429 nucleotides) under Bacteroidota bacterium. RNAcentral's name for it is "Bacteroidetes bacterium partial 16S ribosomal RNA". It matches the Rfam family "Bacterial small subunit ribosomal RNA", at positions 355 to 776 of the family's 1533-position model. The record is from RNAcentral. Lineage: Bacteria; Pseudomonadati; Bacteroidota.
UAGGGAAUCUUCGGCAAUGGGGGGAACCCUGACCGAGCAACGCCGCGUGAGUGAAGAAGGUUUUCGGAUCGUAAAGCUCUGUUGUUAAGGAAGAACGAGUGUGAGAAUGGAAAGUUCAUACUGUGACGGUACUUAACCAGAAAGGGACGGCUAACUACGUGCCAGCAGCCGCGGUAAUACGUAGGUCCCGAGCGUUGUCCGGAUUUAUUGGGCGUAAAGCGAGCGCAGGCGGUUAGAUUAGUCUGAAGUUAAAGGCAGUGGCUCAACCAUUGUAGGUUUUGGCAACUGUUUAACUUGAGUGCAGAAGGGGAGAGUGGAAUUCCAUGUGUAGCGGUGAAAUGCGGAGAUAUAUGGAGGAACACCGGUGGCGAAAGCGGCUCUCUGGUCUGUAACUGACGCUGAGGCUCGAAAGCGUGGGGAGCGAACAGG